Molecule: ribosomal RNA, 261 nt
Filed under: uncultured archaeon
Lineage: Archaea
Description: partial 16S ribosomal RNA
Rfam family: Archaeal small subunit ribosomal RNA
Source: RNAcentral
AGGGUGUAAACGCUGCAGACUUGGUGUUGGAGGCCCUUUGGGGGCAUUCAGUGCCGGAGAGAAGUUGUUAAGUCUGCUACUUGGGGAGUGCGUCCGCAAGGAUGAAACUUAAAGGAAUUGGCGGGGGAGCACCGCAACGGGAGGAGCGUGCGGUUUAAUUGGAUUCAACACCGUAAAACUCACCAGGGAAGACUGUUACAUGAAGGCCGAGAUGAAGACUCUGCUAGAUUUUCAGAGAGGAGGUGCAUGGCGUCAGUGACU